AUUUUUUAAUUUUUUACUGUUUUCACACAGUUGAGAUUGAUCAGAUAUGAUGUUCAGAACAGAAUGUCGGGAAAAUAAAAGACAUUAAACAAUGUGCAACAGGAAGCCUUUUGGGCACUUGCUCAGGUGGAUUUGCACUUUUAACACAUGCAGGCGUGUCUCGCGGGCAGUUUUACCACAUACCCGAGGUGGAAAGACGUUUUACGCAUCUUCGUUAUCACAUAGUAGUGAAUCAGUUGGCAAGAUUUCGAAGGAAACCUUGCCAACCAACCUUUUUAUUUUUAAUGAUCCAACCGCAGGUUCACCUACGGUUA
RNAcentral lists this unclassified non-coding RNA (314 nucleotides) under uncultured fungus. Its description in RNAcentral is "sequence contains ITS1". Lineage: Eukaryota; Fungi. The record is from RNAcentral.